This 340-nucleotide ribosomal RNA is filed under the name uncultured Fusibacter sp. Its description in RNAcentral is "bacterial SSU rRNA". It matches the Rfam family "Bacterial small subunit ribosomal RNA", at positions 1043 to 1382 of the family's 1533-position model. The record is from RNAcentral. Lineage: Bacteria; Bacillati; Bacillota; Clostridia; Eubacteriales; Fusibacteraceae.
GCAUGGUUGUCGUCAGCUCGUGUCGUGAGAUGUUGGGUUAAGUCCCGCAACGAGCGCAACCCUUGUGUUUAGUUGCCAACAGGUUAAGCUGUGCACUCUAAACAGACUGCCGUAGAUAACACGGAGGAAGGUGGGGAUGACGUCAAGUCAUCAUGCCCCUUAUGAUCUGGGCUACACACGUGCUACAAUGGUCGGUACAACGGGCAGCGAAAGAGUAAUCUGGAGCGAAUCCUAAAAAGCCGAUCCCAGUUCGGAUUGUGGGCUGAAACUCGCCCACAUGAAGUUGGAGUUGCUAGUAAUCGCGAAUCAGAAUGUCGCGGUGAAUGCGUUCCCGGGUCUU